Molecule: non-coding RNA, 73 nt
Organism: Phlebotomus papatasi
Lineage: Eukaryota; Metazoa; Arthropoda; Insecta; Diptera; Psychodidae
Source: Rfam
ACUCUAAUAGCUCAGUUGGUAGAGCACUCGUCUAGUUAAUGAUAGGUCUCCAGUUCGAUCCUGGGUGGAGGCA